This is a long non-coding RNA of Heterocephalus glaber (naked mole-rat), 2405 nucleotides long. The record is from Ensembl. NCBI's taxonomy places the organism in Eukaryota, Metazoa, Chordata, Mammalia, Rodentia, Bathyergidae.
CAAGGCUUCGCCCCUAGAGCAGUGGGACUCUGGUAUGGACCGGUUUCCUGUGAGAUCUUGCUCCGUCUCACAAGAUCCUAUGCAGGCCUGUAUCUGGAACAGCUUGUCAUCGAUCUCGCCCUCUAUCGCUCAGCGACCUAGGAGGCCCCAGGACUGCAGUCUGCGGGUUAUCCCAUUUUACAGGUCGAGACUCAAGAUAUCAGUAAUUUGCUAAGACCAAACGUCAGUUACCUGUUUAAAAAAUUGAUUCUCACCCCUGACCACACCUCUGAGGAUUCGGACCUUCUGGAAGAUGAACAGUUCAUAUUUGACCAAGAUCACAUAAAUAGGAGUUGGGGGAUUGGAACCUACUAUGACCGACUUCAAAUUAAUGCAGUUUGUAGUCACUUAUAUAAUAAUGGUAAAGGCAUUUUUUGCUAUACAGAGUGGGUAAACUCACUGAGGGAAUAAAGCAACAUAUGACACACAUGAGGCAACAUGACAGGGAAGAUCAGCAGAGGAAACAAGUAGCAGAAAAGCAAGGAAAAUUACAUUUCCCAUUUCCAAAGUAAAUUUAAAAAGAAUGAAAAGUAGGGCCAGGGAUUUAGCUCAGUGGUGCCACCGCCUGCCUUGAAAGCCCAUGGUCUUGAGUUCGAUCCCCAGUACAAAAAAAAAUGAAAAAUAAAAGCAAAAAUUGCCUGGGAUUUAGCUCAGCGGUGCCACAUCUGCCUGGCAAGCACAAGGUCCUGAGUUCCAUUCCCAGUACCCCCCAAAAAGCAAAAAUUAAUGAAAUAGCCAAUAAAAUUGAUCAUAAUAAUAUCUGGUAUUUGAAAAGAACAAUAGACACUUUGCAAAUCCAAGGAAGUAGAGAAAAAAUAUUGGAAACAGCUGGGUGUAGUGGCCCACACCUGUAACCCCAGCACUUGUGAGGCUGAGGCAGGAGGAUCACUGUGAGUUCAAGCUCAGCUUGGGCUGGUGAGUUCAAGCCCAGACUGGACUACAUAGUGAGACCCUGUCUCAAACUCCUCCCCCACUUAGAAACAAAGGAAGCAUACUACAUAUGAGGAGACUUAGUAAAUCAAAAAUGAAUUAUGGGGCUGGGGAUUUAGCUCAGUGGUUCCACCGCCUCCUUUGCAAGACCAAGGUUCCGAGUUCAAUCCCUAGUCCAAAAAAAAAAAAAAAAUGAAUUAUGUAGCCUUUACUAAUAAUCUUGAAAAUUGACUUGAAAAAUUUCUAGAAAAAUAUAAAUUUCAAAACUUGGCUCAAGAGUUAGAAAAUCUUGAACUGAUAGACAUGAAAGCAUGUCCUAAAGUAGGGUAUCAUCAAAAGUCACCAGGAACAAAGCAUAAAGAAGGAUAGAGUGUUUCCUAACUCUACCUUUGUCAAAAUUUUAAAUAAACCUGUAAACCUGCAAGUGUCUGGUUGUAAAGGCUUCAAAAUAAUGUGCAAGGCCAGGGAUUUAGCUCAGUGGUUCCUCUGCCUGCCUUGCAAACGCAAGGACCCAAGUUCAAUCCCUGGUACCAACAAAAAGCAAAAUAAUGUGCAGAUAUAUGUAAUAUGAUAGUCAUGAUAACUUUGCAAUUUUUUAAAAUCUUGACUUCAUUAGUAAAAGGAUUGCUAAGUAAGAUUACAUUUACAAUACAAAAUAUUACAUACUGGUAGAAAUACAAUUCUGCAGGCAUUAAUAUGGAAAAAUUAAAAAAGAGUAUAGACAGUGAAAAUUAUACAAGAUACUACAUAUGUGACUUAAUUUUUAACAAUUAUCUUGUAAAAGAAUAAGUUUGGAGAGGAUCUAUACCAAAUUGUUAACUGUUGGUUAUAGAGCGAGAGGAUGUGAAAGAUGUUUUUUAUAUUUGUAUUGUUUAUUUUUUUAUUUUUCUUUAAUUUUUACUAAGUAAAAAUGUAGAAAGAAACAUGUACCAUCAUGCAAAAGAAAGUAUUUUCAAAGAAUAAGGGAUUAGGAAAGAUUAAAAGACUAAAACACAUUGAUUUGGGCAAAGGCAUUGAUGUACUCAGGAGAACAACUUUAAUAAAAUGGUCAAGAUGGAAAAAUCAGAUUGCACAGGAUUUCAAGGUAAGUGACUGACUGUAAAAGAAGGUUUUCAGUUGAGAGAAAGUGCAGAAUUCCAGAUAAUAGGAACCGUUUGUGAGUAGGAGAUGGUUUCAAUUAGUAAAAAUGGCUAGUCCUCCCCCCGCUUCAGUUUUUCAAAACUGAGGUGAUAAUUUUUUCCAACAGUCUCAUUGUUGCCAAGGCUGCCCUCAAACUGCCUCUCAAGUAGCUAAAACUGCAGGUGCACACCACCCCAUGUAUUUUCUCUUCCUUCCAAGGCAUUCUUGCUGUCUUCAGUGCCUACCUCCAAAUCCUGGGGCAGCACAUGGAUAGUUUUGUUUCAUAUUUAGCUCAUUCUUUUUCAGUUGCCCAACAA